UGGCCCGUUACUGACCAGGGCUACACACGUGCUACAAUGGCCGGUACAAAGAGUUGCAAUACCGCGAGGUGGAGCUAAUCUCAUAAAGCCGGUCUCAGUUCGGAUUGGAGUCUGCAACUCGACUCCAUGAAGUUGGAAUCGCUGGUAAUCGCGGAUCAGCACGCCGCGGUGAAUACGUUCCCGGGCCUU
Molecule: ribosomal RNA, 189 nt
Filed under: uncultured Geobacter sp.
Lineage: Bacteria; Pseudomonadati; Thermodesulfobacteriota; Desulfuromonadia; Geobacterales; Geobacteraceae
Description: partial 16S ribosomal RNA
Rfam family: Bacterial small subunit ribosomal RNA
Source: RNAcentral